Molecule: non-coding RNA, 1176 nt
Organism: Dermacentor andersoni
Lineage: Eukaryota; Metazoa; Arthropoda; Arachnida; Ixodida; Ixodidae
Source: RefSeq, a predicted model, not a curated record
UCCACACACAACGGGAGAUUUGGUAAGUGUCUAUCAGAUGGGUUCCUUUCAAAAAAAGAGUUGUUUCGCUGGAAACACAUAUCGCAUGUGCGUACACGUUGAAUACAUGACGGCAAGUCACUACAGCGACAGAUAUAAACCAAACAAGCUUUUCGUAUAUCUUGACACAUGUUAACCAUCGUCGGGGAGCGCUUACUGGUCGCUUACGUGCAGUAUUGUGAUGUUCCAUAAUCAGCGUUUCAGGACUUUUGGUUUCACAAUUUUCACCAAUAAAGCUAUAAUUUCAGCUCUUGCAUCCAACGUAACGUUACGGCAUUCACGGUAUUACGUAAUAUCGCAAGCGUAGGAUUGAACUAUAUUACGUAUUCCACAUACGUAACCGGCAUAUAACACCGUGCAUUGUAUAUUUGUGAUAUGCUUAAGGAUGACGGUAAAAGCCUAAUUGCAAUUAUUAAUUUCUGCUCGUCCAACACAGAAAAACAUUUCCUUUGUCCAAGAAAAGAAAAUUUCGAUAAUAACCCUUGGUAACGGAUCUGCGGAGAUGAAAGCUCAUGGCCAAGAAAAUAGGGAUUCAAGUAUGAUGUUAAACCACUUAGGCGAAAUUGCAGCAGUAGGCUGGUAAGGAAAACAAACAAUUAUGAGCUUAUUUCGGCGAGCCGAAUGAGUUUUUAGAAUAAGCAUUCGAUUUCGCCACAUGUAACAUUAAAAAUGUAACGCUUCAUUUUCCCUUGCGACCUGUUCUACCCAAUUAGCAAAAUUACAGGAUACGCGUGUUCUCAAAUAACGGGAUUACAUCGUUCUUUCCCCAGGGCCGGUAUUUCUUUCUAGAUCAAGGCGUACCAGUGUAUUGGGAUUUCUCGUUGUAAUGGCAGCUCGCAUCACAGCAAUUCUUCUCAUGUGUGCCGUGUUCGCCUACGGCAUCAUGGCCAUUGCAGCCAAUCAGGAUGCUACAGCACGAGGAAGUUCAGUGCCGGCGAGUGCUGCCAAUGAGGAUGCAAGAAUCUCAUCAGCUGCGAUCGGAAGCUUGGCGGGUGGAGGCCUCGGCUGAAGCUCACGUGAUUGGCUGCACCGAGGGAGCAGCGCGAGAGAACCGACUUUUGUCGCGUGCUCGCUUUAUUCUUUAGCGAGUUCAUUUUUCACCGUUCAAAUGAAAUAAAUGUCGGUGCAUUACCUGGU